UUCUCUCUCUUCCUCCCGAUUCUCUCUCUCUCUCCCGCGUCCCUCUUCCUCCUUCUCCGAUUUGCAGACACGGAGCCACCGCCACAGACCACGGCCAGCCCCGAGACCGGACCCAAAACAACCGGCCAGACCUCGCCGACGUCCCCCGACCCAUCUCCAGCCGUCCGCCGCCGCCUCGUCACCGAAAAACGCGAAUUUCAGGCCGAUCCUUGUCUGAGCUUCCAGUCGAUCGUUCUCUCUCCUCCGAGCACUAUUUCAGACGGGUGAGGUAUGGUUUCUCAUCCAAUUUUCGAGUUCUAGCUGAUGAUGGUAUAGGUUUUCAUUGAUUUUGAGUCUAGAAAACCGAUUAGAAAUCUAGGUUUUGGGCCGAAUUUCAAAAGGAAAUUCCGGCCAGUUGCCGGCCGAAUUGGAGCUUCUCGUAGUUGAAUGAAGUGAUCCUGACAUCGAGUAGAAGCUAGGGUAGGAAGGGUGAGCUCGGGUGUGGAGUUUUUCCGUCACCGGAAUUACUCUGCACACCCACGCGCUGCCGGCGCGUGUGGCAGCGCGUGGGCGAGUCUGGUGAGGAUGUAAAUUGACCCGAUGAGAUCCUUAGGUUGUCACGAGCGCAUAGGAAUUCGCGGAUCUCGAUUCGGAUGUCGUUUGGCUAUCGAACGGAUUUUCGCAUAUUAUGCGUUAUUCGGGUUCGAUAGGUUCCGACCGUUAGAUCUUUCCCAAUUUAAAAUAUGUUGUUCUAGGUAUUCCUAGGACCGUAUGGGACUUCACGAAUUCUGAAUCAGAGCCCCGGAUGUUCUGAUUCAAAAAUGCAAAGUUUGCGGGUUAGCGAUAACCGUAAAAUCGUGAACGCUUCCUAAACCUGUAAUCGGACCUUAGGGUACAAUCUUCGACGUGCACGUAUGGGAAUUUGGGGAGUUAAGCACUUAAUUUGUAAUUUCCGCUUAGACGUGGUUUUUAUAUUAAUUAACGGUUCGUAUUUCGAAAUAGGUAUUUCGACUGCACGCACGCAGCAAGCAGGACCUUCACGUGGUCAGGCAGCGAGGGAAUACUUGUGAGUGGACUUUGUUUUAAUCAUAUGCAUGGUUUUAAUUGAUGAGAUGUUUUACAUGAUGUUUUAAUGGCUUAUGGAAUUUAUAUAUUUUAUUCAUGAAUUGAUUUUGAUGGUUGUAUAGCAUUUGGCAAUAUAUUGUGAGUUUGGCGUUUGGGGUUUUUGAGAGUGCAUUUAUAUGGAUAGUGGGGAGGUAUAUUUAUAUAUUCUCAAUAGAUGAGAUAUUUGGGUAGUUGGAGGUUGAGGUGGAAGGAUGUGAUUUUGGAGAUGAGUUGUGUGAUUACACUACGUAAGUACCUUCCCCAGUUUUUUUAGUCUCACUCGCGGCGUUGGAUGUUCCGGCGGGUGAGACACUUUCCGUACGCGGCGUUGGAUGUUCCGGCGUACGGAAAGACUGUGUAUAGAGGGUCAUCACCAUGGCGUUGGAUGUUCCGGUGUGUGAUGAUCCAGUCUGCGCGCGUAGGACAUAGUUUGAGAGCUACACAUGGCGUUGGAAGUUCCGGUGUGUGAGCUUUGGAGUUUCGUCCCCCGGUUGGACCGCUCAUCCCUAGACGCAGGAUAGUACCUGGAAAUCCUGCGGACUAGUCAAACGAUCCCCCAGUUGGAUUGUUUUCCCCGGUACCUAGGUGGUGUGAUGAGUAUAUCGUAUAAUUAUUUAUAGUUAUUUAUAUAUGUAUUUAUAUGUACAUUUAUUGAAUAUGUAUAGUAGUGUGUGAACUGAUUUGGUGUUGUUUAUUAGUUGACAGGAGAGGUGAGUUUGAGGGAAUGGGGUUCUUUUUGGAAAGAGUUGACUGAUGUUUUAGAAGAGUUUUAAUGAACCAUGUUUUGAGUAUAUUAAUUAUUGGAUUGUGAAACUGCAUGACUUGUGCAUUAUUUUUACAUGGUGGGGUUACUAUGUUGUUUUAACUGCAAACCUGGUUUUUGUCCACUCACAUGUUUUCUGUUUUGCGCCCCCCAGCCAGUAGUUGCUCCUGGAAGUACAAGUGGUGUCUGCAGCGGAGUCAGUGCAUCUUUAUAAUUAAGAACUGUGUAAAUUCUUAUACUCGACUGUUCUUGUAAUCUAAAUUCAGUAGAUGCUCUGUAUGCCAUGGUAGAUUUUACUUGUGAGGCCGGAGGCCACUCUAGUAUGACUUGUGUGUGUAUGAAAGCAUGCUGCUGGUUGGGAUUAGUAUUACUGUGUGUUGCAGGUUGAAUAAAUUUUGUUGGGAUUGCUUAAAUUGCAGGGGAGACUCUGCCAAAUUUUUGGUAGAAAGUCUCGAUUAUUUCAUAGGUGGGCCCGGCAUCGGGAUGAUGUCGGGAACAAGACGGGGUCCGCCUCGGUCUUGGGGAAAUUCCGGGGCGGGUCCUGUCAUCGUGUAUCGGGUCGUAUCCGAAAUUGCCACCCCUAAUGGCAG
This 2436-nucleotide long non-coding RNA is filed under the name Prunus persica (peach). Its description in RNAcentral is "long non-coding RNA (PPER_LNC002203)". Lineage: Eukaryota; Viridiplantae; Streptophyta; Magnoliopsida; Rosales; Rosaceae. The record is from RNAcentral.